GACGAACGCUGGCGGCGUGCCUAAUACAUGCAAGUAGAACGCUGAAGAGAGGAGCUUGCUCUUCUUGGAUGAGUUGCGAACGGGUGAGUAACGCGUAGGUAACCUGCCUUGUAGCGGGGGAUAACUAUUGGAAACGAUAGCUAAUACCGCAUAACAAUGGAUGACACAUGUCAUUUAUUUGAAAGGGGCAAUUGCUCCACUACAAGAUGGACCUGCGUUGUAUUAGCUAGUAGGUGAGGUAACGGCUCACCUAGGCGACGAUACAUAGCCGACCUGAGAGGGUGAUCGGCCACACUGGGACUGAGACACGGCCCAGACUCCUACGGGAGGCAGCAGUAGGGAAUCUUCGGCAAUGGGGGCAACCCUGACCGAGCAACGCCGCGUGAGUGAAGAAGGUUUUCGGAUCGUAAAGCUCUGUUGUAAGUCAAGAACGAGUGUGAGAGUGGAAAGUUCACACUGUGACGGUAGCUUACCAGAAAGGGACGGCUAACUACGUGCCAGCAGCCGCGGUAAUACGUAGGUCCCGAGCGUUGUCCGGAUUUAUUGGGCGUAAAGCGAGCGCAGGCGGUUUGAUAAGUCUGAAGUUAAAGGCUGUGGCUCAACCAUAGUUCGCUUUGGAAACUGUCAAACUUGAGUGCAGAAGGGGAGAGUGGAAUUCCAUGUGUAGCGGUGAAAUGCGUAGAUAUAUGGAGGAACACCGGUGGCGAAAGCGGCUCUCUGGUCUGUAACUGACGCUGAGGCUCGAAAGCGUGGGGAGCGAACAGGAUUAGAUACCCUGGUAGUCCACGCCGUAAACGAUGAGUGCUAGGUGUUGGAUCCUUUCCGGGAUUCAGUGCCGCAGCUAACGCAUUAAGCACUCCGCCUGGGGAGUACGACCGCAAGGUUGAAACUCAAAGGAAUUGACGGGGGCCCGCACAAGCGGUGGAGCAUGUGGUUUAAUUCGAAGCAACGCGAAGAACCUUACCAGGUCUUGACAUCCCGAUGCUAUUUCUAGAGAUAGAAAGUUACCUCGGUACAUCGGUGACAGGUGGUGCAUGGUUGUCGUCAGCUCGUGUCGUGAGAUGUUGGGUUAAGUCCCGCAACGAGCGCAACCCCUAUUGUUAGUUGCCAUCAUUCAGUUGGGCACUCUAGCGAGACUGCCGGUAAUAAACCGGAGGAAGGUGGGGAUGACGUCAAAUCAUCAUGCCCCUUAUGACCUGGGCUACACACGUGCUACAAUGGUUGGUACAACGAGUUGCGAGUCGGUGACGGCAAGCUAAUCUCUUAAAGCCAAUCUCAGUUCGGAUUGUAGGCUGCAACUCGCCUACAUGAAGUCGGAAUCGCUAGUAAUCGCGGAUCAGCACGCCGCGGUGAAUACGUUCCCGGGCCU
RNAcentral lists this ribosomal RNA (1369 nucleotides) under uncultured bacterium. Its description in RNAcentral is "bacterial SSU rRNA". It matches the Rfam family "Bacterial small subunit ribosomal RNA", at positions 28 to 1381 of the family's 1533-position model. The record is from RNAcentral.